Molecule: non-coding RNA, 45 nt
Organism: Schistosoma mattheei
Lineage: Eukaryota; Metazoa; Platyhelminthes; Trematoda; Strigeidida; Schistosomatidae
Source: Rfam
AUCCAGCUGAUGAGUCGCAAGUAGGACGAAACGCGCGUCCUGGAU